RNAcentral lists this ribosomal RNA (450 nucleotides) under uncultured bacterium. Its description in RNAcentral is "partial 16S ribosomal RNA". It matches the Rfam family "Bacterial small subunit ribosomal RNA", at positions 338 to 795 of the family's 1533-position model. The record is from RNAcentral.
CCUACGGGUGGCUGCAGUGGGGAAUUUUGGACAAUGGGGGCAACCCUGAUCCAGCCAUUCCGCGUGAGUGAAGAAGGCCUUCGGGUUGUAAAGCUCUUUUGUCGGGGACGAAACGGUUUUGGCUAAUACCUAAGACUACUGACGGUACCCGAAGAAUAAGCACCGGCUAACUACGUGCCAGCAGCCGCGGUAAUACGUAGGGUGCAAGCGUUAAUCGGAAUUACUGGGCGUAAAUUUAGCGCACACGGUUGAAAGCCCCGGGCGCAACCUGGGAAUGGCAAUUGGGACUGUAAGGCUGGAGUAUGGCAGAGGAGACUAGAAUUCCUGGUGUAGCAGUGAAAUGCGUAGAUAUCAGGAGGAAUACCGAUGGCGAAGGCAGGUCUCUGGGCCAAUACUGACGCUCAUGCACGAAAGCGUGGGGAGCAAACAGGAUUAGAUACCCCUGUAGUC